RNAcentral lists this ribosomal RNA (253 nucleotides) under uncultured bacterium. Its description in RNAcentral is "partial 16S ribosomal RNA". It matches the Rfam family "Bacterial small subunit ribosomal RNA", at positions 524 to 776 of the family's 1533-position model. The record is from RNAcentral.
UACAGAGGUCUCAAGCGUUGUUCGGAUUCAUUGGGCGUAAAGGGUGCGUAGGCGGCGUGGUAAGUCGGAUGUGAAAUCUCGGAGCUUAACUCCGAAACUGCAUUCGAUACUGCCGUGCUUGAGGACUGGAGUGGAGACUGGAAUUUACGGUGUAGCGGUGAAAUGCGUAGAUAUCGUAAGGAAGACCAGUGGCGAAGGCGGGUCUCUGGACAGUUCCUGACGCUGAGGCACGAAGGCCAGGGGAGCAAACGGG